This 1860-nucleotide long non-coding RNA is filed under the name Marmota monax (woodchuck). The record is from RNAcentral. Lineage: Eukaryota; Metazoa; Chordata; Mammalia; Rodentia; Sciuridae.
GUACAGUGCCUGCAGGGGCUAGGGACAGAGCAAAGGCUGAAUGCAGGGUUUCCAGGUGCGGGCCCACGGCCCCCAGCUCCUGACAGCCAUGAUCAGCGGGCUGGACGACGGGGAUGACCCACACGGCCUGGUGGCCCUGGAGGCCAUGGUGGGCCUGGCUCGACUGCUGGACCUGGUGGCACCCUGGGACCUGCGCCUGGUGCUGCUGCACACAGUGAUCCGCAUCCGGCCCUUCUUCGACAGUGUAAGCCAGCCACGGUGGGGUUGGGUACUGAAGCCAGUGUUCAUGGCCCCCGGCCAGUCCCUGCCACUUCCCCAUGGGUCCCCCGAGCCAUACUUCCACCCGUCACUUAGGCCCCAACAGGUACUGUCUCCCCCAAGCCCCUAACAAGGAGUUUUUCUGUGGCAACCUGAGUUCUCUUCCCAAGCCCACCCACUACAUGGGACAGGAAGGAUGGCACCUGACAGGGGCCCAUAGCUACAGGCUGCAGGAGGGCCAGGGGGAGGAGCACUGUAAGGUGACAGGGCAACACCUCUGCCAGGAGAAGGUGGAGUUCCGAGAAGCAUCCAUCCGCCUCUUUGGGCACCUCAACAAGGCCUGCCAUGGGGACUGUGAAGAAGUCUUCCUGGAGCAGGUUGUGGGCGGGCUGGUGCCUCUGCUGCUACACCUGCAGGACCCUCAAGCCCCUGUGGCCAAUGUGAGUAGCCGAUGGGGGAGGGGUGGGGCCUGGGCGGGGCGCGGGGCGCGGGGCUCAGCGUGGUACCCUGUUAGGCCUGCAGGUUUGCCCUGUGCAUGUGUGUCCCCAACCUGGAGUGCGAGGAGCUGGCAGCCACCUUCCACAAGCACCUGCAGGAGGGACGCAGCCUGCACUUCGGGGAGUUCCUCAACUCAACCUGCAAGCACCUGGUGAGAUGGGCACACGGGGGAGGCCCCGCCCAGGCGAGGCUGUCCACCCAUACUACCUUGCCUGCCUCUGCAGAUGCAUCACUUCCCUGACCUGCUGGGCCGCCUGGUGAGCACCAGCCUGUUCUACUUUAAGAGCACCUUGGAAGAGGUCCGCGCUGCAGCCCCCAUGCUCACAGGUGAGCGCUGGCUGACCUCCUUACCCCCCCGGACCCUGGGGCCCACCUCCACUCUUGCCACACACCUAACCCCACCUGCUGCAGGGUUCCUGGUGCUGCAUGCAGAACCCGAGCAGCAGCCGCAGGUGGACCUGGAGCAACUGAUGGCAGGUGUGUGCCCCUACAGCCUGAGCCCCCACCCCACCCCCCACCCCCGCAACCUGCCCAGCUCUGCUGGGGCCCAGUGACCCUGUGGGCAUCUGCGGGGACUAAGUGAUUUUCCUGGAUUUCAAGUUUUUUUUCCCUGUCACUGGUGACCUCAUCGUCUCUAGUAAUUCACGGAAACUUCCUAACUGUUCCAAAAGAGCUUAAAAAACACUAAAAAAGGAAAAACUAUCUUUCCGUUGGCUCCCAAGCCCUUCCAGCAGAGCUCCGUGAGGAAGGCUGUGGGCGGCCCCAGGAGCAGGCGCAGGGCGUGCACACAGCCGCCUCUCCCUCUCCCAGCACUGCAGCUCCUGCUGCGGGACCCAGCACCCGGGGUCCGGGAGAAGUCUGCCGAGACGCUGGGCCGCCUGGUGAAGUUCGCCUGAGGCAGACCAGCAGCCAGCAGCCAACAGCACAGCGUGCCUGCACCUGCCAGAGGAAGGCCCUGCGGACCCUCCUCGGACACUCUGCUGCCAGGCGCUACCCGGACCCAGCCCCUGCUGGUGGGGAAGGGGCCAGGGGCCAGACUGGGCAGGGCAAGCCCAUGAGCCCCCACAGGUCUCCCAAUAAAGCCGUUUGCUCCUCAGUGGGUAA